This 492-nucleotide ribosomal RNA is filed under the name uncultured bacterium. RNAcentral's name for it is "partial 16S ribosomal RNA". It matches the Rfam family "Bacterial small subunit ribosomal RNA", at positions 899 to 1397 of the family's 1533-position model. The record is from RNAcentral.
ACUCAAAUGAAUAGACGGGGACCCGCACAACCGGUGGAGCGUGUGGUUCAAUUCGAGACAAAACGAAGAACCUCACCAGGGCUUGACAUAUUACCGUUUAUUCUCCAAGAAACUGGAGGAAAUCCGCAAGGAUGGUAUUACAGGUGCUGCAUGGCUGUCGUCAGUUCGUGCCGUGAGGUGUUCCCUUAAGUGGGGAAACGAACGCAACCCCCGCGCAAUGUUAAAUAUUCAUUGCGGACGGUCCCGUGUUUUACACGGGAAGGAAGGAGGGGUAGAUGUCAAGUCAGCAUGGCCCUUACGCCCUGGGCUACACACACACUACAAUGGCGAAUAACAAUGGGUUGCAAGCGCGCAAGUGCAAGCUAAUCCCUUAAAUUUCGCCUCAGUUCAGAUUGGGGUCUGAAACCCGACCCCAUGAAGUCGGAAUCGGUAGUAAUCGCGGAUCAGCAUGCCGCGGUGAAUACGUUCUCGGGUCUUGUACACACCGCCCGU